GUUAAUGUAGCUUAAUAAAAAGCAAAGCACUGA
RNAcentral lists this transfer RNA (33 nucleotides) under Mus cypriacus (Cypriot mouse). RNAcentral describes it as "tRNA-Phe". Lineage: Eukaryota; Metazoa; Chordata; Mammalia; Rodentia; Muridae. The record is from RNAcentral.